GCAAGUCGAACGGCAGCGCGGGGCAACCUGGCGGCGAGUGGCGAACGGGUGAGUAAUAUAUCGGAACGUACCCAGAAGUGGGGGAUAACGUAGCGAAAGUUACGCUAAUACCGCAUACGAUCUACGGAUGAAAGUGGGGGACCUUCGGGCCUCAUGCUUGUGGAGCUGCCGAGAUCUGAUUAGCUAGUUGGUAGGGUAGAGGCCUACCAAGGCGACGAUCAGUAGCUGGUCUGAGAGGACGACC
Molecule: ribosomal RNA, 244 nt
Filed under: uncultured bacterium
Lineage: Bacteria
Description: partial 16S ribosomal RNA
Rfam family: Bacterial small subunit ribosomal RNA
Source: RNAcentral